Molecule: long non-coding RNA, 586 nt
Filed under: Chrysemys picta bellii (western painted turtle)
Lineage: Eukaryota; Metazoa; Chordata; Testudines; Emydidae
Description: lncRNA (ENSCPBG00000006882.1)
Source: RNAcentral
UCUCAAAAAUGUGAUUAGUUUUCUUUUUAAAUGGGCUGUUUGUCUUUUCACUUUUAAUUAAAAGGCACAGUGACUGAAGAUGUCUGAUGUCGAUGAGGGUUUCAUCUGUACAUGGCUCCUGCUUCAUCAGGAGGUGGCUGUAUGUGGCAGAGCAAGUGGUCUUUGGCUAUGAAGACUUUGGGGAUCUUUUGGCACAAAAGGGUAAAAAUGGCAUCUCUCUUCUCUCCAUUUAUACCUCAAUACAUCCAGAGGGUCUUGUGGUUAAAACACAACAGGAGACCUGUGCCCACUUUGCCAUAGAACUCCUGUUUAACUUUGGGUAAGUCAUUUAAUCUUUCUGCACCUGUUUUCCAAAAUGGAGAUAUUUACCUACAGUUGUUUACAGUGGCUUAAUUAAUUAAGCUACUGUAAAUUAAUAUUUGUAAAGCACUGUAAGAUCUUCACAUUGAGGGGCUAUAUAUACAUAUAUAUGCCAAGUAUUAUGAUUAUAUGCUAUGCUGAUAUAAUUAGCUGGGAUCUUUGAUCAUUUUUAUAAACUCACAGUUUUUUCUAGUAUCAGAGGGGUAGCCGUGUUAGUCUGAAUCUG